This 259-nucleotide ribosomal RNA is filed under the name uncultured prokaryote. Its description in RNAcentral is "partial 16S ribosomal RNA". It matches the Rfam family "Bacterial small subunit ribosomal RNA", at positions 524 to 782 of the family's 1533-position model. The record is from RNAcentral.
UACGUAGGCGGCAAGCGUUGUCCGGAUUUAUUGGGCGUAAAGCGAGCGCAGGCGGUUCCUUAAGUCUGAUGUGAAAGCCCACGGCUCAACCGUGGAAGGUCAUUGGAAACUGGGGAACUUGAGUGCAGAAGAGGAGAGUGGAAUUCCAUGUGUAGCGGUGAAAUGCGUAGAUAUAUGGAGGAACACCAGUGGCGAAGGCGACUCUCUGGUCUGUAACUGACGCUCAGGCACGAAGGCGUGGGGAUCAAACAGGAUUAGA